AGUGAACGCUGGCGGUAGGCCUAACACAUGCAAGUCGAACGGCAGCACAGAGGAGCUUGCUCCUUGGGUGGCGAGUGGCGGACGGGUGAGGAAUACAUCGGAAUCUACUCUGUCGUGGGGGAUAACGUAGGGAAACUUACGCUAAUACCGCAUACGACCUACGGGUGAAAGCAGGGGAUCUUCGGACCUUGCGCGAUUGAAUGAGCCGAUAUCGGAUUAGCUAGUUGGCGGGGUAAAGGCCCACAAAGGCGACGAUCCGUAGCUGGUCUGAGAGGAUGAUCAGCCACACUGGAACUGAGACACGGUCCAGACUCCUACGGGAGGCAGCAGUGGGGAAUAUUGGACAAUGGGCGCAAGCCUGAUCCAGCCAUACCGCGUGGGUGAAGAAGGCCUUCGGGUUGUAAAGCCCUUUUGUUGGGAAAGAAAUCCAUCUGGUUAAUACCCGGGUGGGAUGACGGUACCCAAAGAAUAAGCACCGGCUAACUUCGUGCCAGCCGCCGCAGUAA
This 506-nucleotide ribosomal RNA is filed under the name uncultured bacterium. RNAcentral's name for it is "partial 16S ribosomal RNA". It matches the Rfam family "Bacterial small subunit ribosomal RNA", at positions 29 to 523 of the family's 1533-position model. The record is from RNAcentral.